UUUAUGUGUUGAGAAAUAACA
Caenorhabditis elegans is the source of this 21-nucleotide non-coding RNA. The record is from Ensembl. NCBI's taxonomy places the organism in Eukaryota, Metazoa, Nematoda, Chromadorea, Rhabditida, Rhabditidae.